GACGAACGCUGGCGGCGUGCUUAACACAUGCAAGUCGAGCGGUAAGGCCCUUUCGGGGUACGACGAGCGGCGAACGGGUGAGUAACACGUGGGUGACCUGCCCUCAGCUCUGGGAUAAGCCUGGGAAACUGGGUCUAAUACUGGAUAUGACUCCACGGUGCAUGUCGUGGGGUGGAAAGCCUUGUGCGGCUGAGGAUGGGCCCGCGGCCUAUCAGCUUGUUGGUGGGGUGAGGCCUACCAAGGCGACGACGGGUAGCCGGCCUGAGAGGGCGACCGGCCACACUGGGACUGAGACACGGCCCAGACUCCUACGGGAGGCAGCAGUGGGGAAUCUUGCGCAAUGGGCGAAAGCCUGACGCAGCGACGCCGCGUGAGGGAUGACGGCCUGG
This 389-nucleotide ribosomal RNA is filed under the name uncultured bacterium. RNAcentral's name for it is "bacterial SSU rRNA". It matches the Rfam family "Bacterial small subunit ribosomal RNA", at positions 28 to 419 of the family's 1533-position model. The record is from RNAcentral.